This 1213-nucleotide long non-coding RNA is filed under the name Ursus maritimus (polar bear). RNAcentral's name for it is "lncRNA (ENSUMAG00000016162.1)". The record is from RNAcentral. Lineage: Eukaryota; Metazoa; Chordata; Mammalia; Carnivora; Ursidae.
AUGCUAGUAUUUGGUAUUGUGUCUUUAAACAUUUCCUGUGAGACACUUGGUGAGUCAUUUCAAACAUGGUUUUCAUUUCUUGGAAAUUUUCUUGAAAUGUGUGUAUACACAUACACACACUUAAGUGUUUUCCUUCCAUCUUCACAGUUCUUUCUGGAUUUCCUGUUAGUCAGAUGUUGGGUCUCCGGGGCCUGCUUCUCGAGGGUGAUCUUCAGUGUAAUCUGGGCACCACGCAGCUAUUCCUUGGCCACCAAGGAGGCCAGUUCAUGCACAAGGCAUCAGGAGGCAAGACUGCAGCUCAGUGCCAAAUCUUCUGGACACGUUCAGUGGACACAUAGACUUUUCAGAGUGACUCGAGGUUUGGACCCCCCUGGAGAUCAUCCUAAGGAAAGAUCAAAGACCACUGUUCAGAAGCACAGCUCCAGCCCUAGAGAGGACAGACUCAUGUGUGCCUCAGUGCCCCAGCCAGCUCCCCACGACCCGCGCCCCCCCAGCCUCUGUCGCGGCCCGGGGACUCCAGGAGUCCCCCAGAACGCCGCCGCCCUGCCUGCCCCGGGACCCCCGCCCGUGUCCCCUCUGCCCACUGCGGGGAGCACAGGGACCGGCUCCGGGAGCAGGGGCCCGGAGGGAUCGGGCUUUGCCCGGGAGAUGAGACGGCUCGGCUCCGGGCUCGCUUCGAACUUGCCCAAAUUAAACAACAACGAACCGCGGCCACUCAGCGGCUGACCCAUCUCCUCCCCCUCAGUCCCGUUUUCCGGGGACGGUGGCGAGAAGCGGCAUUUCCUGGUGACACAGUGCGGGCCUCGCGGUUGCGGCGAUUGGGGGAGCCGAGCGGCUCUCGCCUUAGCUCGGGAGAGUGAGAGCGGAGCCUAACAGACUGCUCUUUGGCUGCACAGCCCAAGGGCCUUGCCUCCGGCCUCUCGGCGCGACCACGAGAGGGAGAUGUCGCCGGGAGGGGGCGCCUGCUGCGCGGCUGGGACUCCGCGUGGUGAAGUGUCAGCGUGCCCACACUGGGAGCGGGCCAAGCAAAGAAACAGCGGGUCAGGAGAACCCAUGAAGAGUGUCUCUUUGCUAUGGUGAGCUUCCCUUCGGAACCAGGACUAAGCAAACAUCUCUAUAGCCUCGUGGAGAAGAGCCCAGACUCGGCUCAUUGCUUAGCAACAUAAAGUGCUACUAAAAAUGCAGAAUAAAAGGCAGGUGGUACAAAAGUACA